UACGUAGGGUGCGAGCGUUAAUCGGAAUUACUGGGCGUAAAGCGUGCGCAGGCGGUUCGCUGUGUCCGAUGUGAAAGCCCCGGGCUUAACCUGGGAAUGGCAUUGGAAACUGGCGGGCUUGAGUGUGGCAGAGGGGGGUGGAAUUCCGCGUGUAGCAGUGAAAUGCGUAGAGAUGCGGAGGAACACCGAUGGCGAAGGCGGCCGCCUGGUUGGAUACUGACGCUGAGACGCGAAAGCGUGGGGAGCAAACAGG
This 253-nucleotide ribosomal RNA is filed under the name uncultured bacterium. Its description in RNAcentral is "partial 16S ribosomal RNA". It matches the Rfam family "Bacterial small subunit ribosomal RNA", at positions 524 to 776 of the family's 1533-position model. The record is from RNAcentral.